RNAcentral lists this unclassified non-coding RNA (170 nucleotides) under uncultured Calonectria. RNAcentral's name for it is "sequence contains ITS2". The record is from RNAcentral. Lineage: Eukaryota; Fungi; Ascomycota; Sordariomycetes; Hypocreales; Nectriaceae.
CAACCCUCAAGCACCUUCGGGAGCUUGGUGUUGGGGAUCGGCAGGGCGUCCUCCGGGUCGCGCCGUCCCCCAAAUCUAGUGGCGGUCUCGCUGUAGCUUCCUCUGCGUAGUAAUACACCUCGCUCUGGAGUCUCGGUGCGGCCACGCCGUUAAACCCCCAACUUUUUUCU